CCUACGGGUGGCUGCAGUGGGGAAUAUUGGACAAUGGGCGAAAGCCUGAUCCAGCCAUGCCGCGUGUGUGAAGAAUGCCUUCGGGUUGUAAAGCACUUUCAGUGGGGAAAAAGCCUUGGGGCUAAUACCCUCGAGGAAGGACAUCACCCACAGAAGAAGCACCGGCUAACUCCGUGCCAGCAGCCGCGGUAAUACGGAGGGUGUGAGCGUUAAUCGGAAUUACUGGGCGUAAAGCGCGCGUAGGCGGUCUGAUAAGCCGGUUGUGAAAGCCCCGGGCUCAACCUGGGAACGGCAUCCGGAACUGUCAGGCUAGAGUGCAGGAGAGGAAGGUAGAAUUCCCGGUGUAGCGGUGAAAUGCGUAGAGAUCGGGAGGAAUACCAGUGGCGAAGGCGGCCUUCUGGACUGACACUGACGCUGAGGUGCGAAAGCGUGGGUAGCAAACAGGAUUAGAUACCCGUGUAGUC
This 464-nucleotide ribosomal RNA is filed under the name Vreelandella stevensii. RNAcentral's name for it is "partial 16S ribosomal RNA". It matches the Rfam family "Bacterial small subunit ribosomal RNA", at positions 338 to 795 of the family's 1533-position model. Lineage: Bacteria; Pseudomonadati; Pseudomonadota; Gammaproteobacteria; Oceanospirillales; Halomonadaceae. The record is from RNAcentral.